GAUGAAGAACGCAGCGAAAUGCAAUAAGUAGUGUGAAUUGCAGAAUUCAGUGAAUCAUCGAAUCUUUGAACGCACAUUGCGCCCUUUGGUAUUCCUUAGGGCAUGCCUGUUCGAGCGUCAUUUAAACCUUCAAGCUCAGCUUGGUGUUGGGUGACUGUCCGCUUCACCGCGGACUCGCCUCAAAAUUAUUGGCGGCCGGUACAUUGGCUUCGAGCGCAGCAGAAACGCGAACUCGGGCCCGUCGUAUUGGCUCCCAGAAGCUAUCUUCACAAUUUUGACCUCGUAUCAGGUAGGGAUACCCGCUGAACUUAAGCAUAUCAAUAAGCGGAGGA
This 332-nucleotide unclassified non-coding RNA is filed under the name soil metagenome. RNAcentral's name for it is "partial contains 5.8S ribosomal RNA, internal transcribed spacer 2, and large subunit ribosomal RNA". The stretch from base 1 to 120 matches the Rfam family "5.8S ribosomal RNA", at positions 35 to 154 of the family's 154-position model. The record is from RNAcentral.